This 259-nucleotide ribosomal RNA is filed under the name uncultured bacterium. RNAcentral describes it as "partial 16S ribosomal RNA". It matches the Rfam family "Bacterial small subunit ribosomal RNA", at positions 524 to 781 of the family's 1533-position model. The record is from RNAcentral.
UACGUAGGGGGCGAGCGUUGUCCGGAUUCAUUGGGCGUAAAGCGCGGGCAGGCGGCCCGCUCAGUCGGCCGUGAAAGCGCCGGGCUCAACUCGGCGCGGUCGGGCGAUACUGGCGGGCUGGAGGCUGGUAGAGGGCGGUGGAAUUCCGGGUGUAGUGGUGGAAUGCGUAGAGCUCCGGAGGAACACCAGUGGCGAAGGCGGCCGCCUGGGCCAGUCCUGGACGCUGAGCCGCGAAAGCGUGGGGAGCGAUCCGGAUUGA